RNAcentral lists this ribosomal RNA (460 nucleotides) under uncultured bacterium. RNAcentral's name for it is "partial 16S ribosomal RNA". It matches the Rfam family "Bacterial small subunit ribosomal RNA", at positions 338 to 795 of the family's 1533-position model. The record is from RNAcentral.
CCUACGGGGGGCAGCAGUGAGGAAUAUUGGUCAAUGGGCGGAAGCCUGAACCAGCCACGUAGCGUGCAGGAUGACGGCCCUACGGGUUGUAAACUGCUUUUAUACGGGAAUAACGCGCCUUACGUGUAGGGCUUUGCAUGUACCGUAUGAAUAAGGACCGGCUAAUUCCGUGCCAGCAGCCGCGGUAAUACGGAAGGUCCGGGCGUUAUCCGGAUUUAUUGGGUUUAAAGGGAGCGUAGGCCGCAUGUCAAGCGUGCUGUGAAAUGUCCGGGCUCAACCCGGGCCUUGCAGCGCGAACUGGCGUGCUUGAGUCCGGGGAAGGCAGGCGGAAUUCGUCGUGUAGCGGUGAAAUGCGUAGAUAUGACGAAGAACCCCGAUUGCGAAGGCAGCUUGCUGGAGCGGAACUGACGCUGAUGCGCGAAAGCGCGGGGAUCGAACAGGAUUAGAUACCCUAGUAGUC